RNAcentral lists this ribosomal RNA (253 nucleotides) under uncultured bacterium. RNAcentral's name for it is "partial 16S ribosomal RNA". It matches the Rfam family "Bacterial small subunit ribosomal RNA", at positions 524 to 776 of the family's 1533-position model. The record is from RNAcentral.
UACAGAGGGUGCAAGCGUUAAUCGGAAUUACUGGGCGUAAAGCGAGCGUAGUCGGUUAUUUAAGUCGGGUGUGAAAUCCCCGGGCUCAACCUGGGAAUUGCAUUCGAUACUGGAUAGCUAGAGUUCGGCAGAGGGAAGCGGAAUUUCCGGUGUAGCGGUGAAAUUCGUAGAUAUCGGGAGGAACACCAGUGGCGAAGGCGGCGAUCUGGGUCGAUACUGACGCUGAGGUGCGAAAGCGUGGGGAGCAAACAGG